Non-coding RNA from Schistosoma mattheei, 46 nucleotides. The record is from Rfam. Lineage: Eukaryota; Metazoa; Platyhelminthes; Trematoda; Strigeidida; Schistosomatidae.
GCACUGCUGAGGAGUCCCACAAUAGGACGAACCGGCCGUCCAGUGC